Molecule: ribosomal RNA, 496 nt
Filed under: uncultured bacterium
Lineage: Bacteria
Description: bacterial SSU rRNA
Rfam family: Bacterial small subunit ribosomal RNA
Source: RNAcentral
AUUGAACGCUGGCGGUAUGCUUAACACAUGCAAGUCGAACGGUAACAGGAGAGAGCUUGCUCUCUUGCUGACGAGUGGCGGACGGGUGAGUAACGCUUGGGAAUCUGCCUGGUAGUGGGGGACAACACGGGGAAACUCGUGCUAAUACCGCAUACGUCCUACGGGAGAAAGUGGGGGAUCUUCGGACCUCACGCUAUCAGAUGAGCCCAAGUCGGAUUAGCUAGUUGGUGAGGUAACGGCUCACCAAGGCGACGAUCCGUAGCUGGUUUGAGAGGAUGACCAGCCACACUGGGGACUGAGACACGGCCCAGACUCCUACGGAGGCAGCAGUGGGGAAUAUUGGACAAUGGGCGCAAGCCUGAUCCAGCAAUACCGCGUGUGUGAAGAAGGCCUGCGGGUUGUAAAGCACUUUCAAUUGUGAAGAAAAGCUUAAGGUUAAUAACCUUGAGUCUUGACGUUAACUUUAGAAGAAGCACCGGCUAACUCCGUGCCAGCC